AUACAUUUCGGGAAUGAGGUUCUCCCUUAGCAUCAUGCUAAAACCGCUUAUUAAGUUGAUGACUUCUGUAAUUUU
RNAcentral lists this non-coding RNA (75 nucleotides) under Petrocella atlantisensis. Its description in RNAcentral is "Fluoride riboswitch aptamer (crcB RNA motif)". It matches the Rfam family "Fluoride riboswitch aptamer (crcB RNA motif)". Lineage: Bacteria; Bacillati; Bacillota; Clostridia; Lachnospirales; Vallitaleaceae. The record is from Rfam by way of RNAcentral.